This 224-nucleotide ribosomal RNA is filed under the name Karenia brevis. Its description in RNAcentral is "partial Bacterial small subunit ribosomal RNA". It matches the Rfam family "Bacterial small subunit ribosomal RNA", at positions 342 to 580 of the family's 1533-position model. Lineage: Eukaryota; Dinophyceae; Gymnodiniales; Kareniaceae. The record is from RNAcentral.
CGGGAGGCAGCAGUGGGGAAUUUUCUGCAAUGGGCGAAAGCCUGACAGAGCAAUACCGCGUGAGGGAUGACAGUCCUAUGGAUUGUAAACCUCUUUUUUCAGGGAGGAAGUUCUGACGUUACCUGAAGAAUAAGCAUCGGCUAACUCCGUGCCAGCAGCCGCGGUAAUACGGAGGGUGCAAGCGUUAAUCGGAUUUACUGGGCGUAAAGCGUGCGUAGGUGGUU